AACGAACGCUGGCGGCAGGCCUAACACAUGCAAGUCGAGCGCCCUUUCGGGGGCGCGGCGGACGGGUGAGUAACGCGUGGGAAUAUGCCCUUCUCUACGGAAUAGCCUCGGGAAACUGAGAGUAAUACCGUAUACGCCCUGUGGGGGAAAGAUUUAUCGGGGAAGGAUUAGCCCGCGUUGGAUUAGGUAGUUGGUGGGGUAAUGGCCUACCAAGCCGACGAUCCAUAGCUGGUUUGAGAGGAUGAUCAGCCACACUGGGACUGAGACACGGCCCAGACUCCUACGGGAGGCAGCAGUGGGGAAUCUUAGACAAUGGGGGCCACCCUGAUCUAGCCAUGCCGCGUGAGUGAUGAAGGCCUUAGGGUUGUAAAGCUCUUUCAGCUGGGAAGAUAAUGACGGUACCAGCAGAAGAAGCCCCGGCUAACUCCGUG
This 431-nucleotide ribosomal RNA is filed under the name uncultured bacterium. RNAcentral describes it as "partial 16S ribosomal RNA". It matches the Rfam family "Bacterial small subunit ribosomal RNA", at positions 29 to 507 of the family's 1533-position model. The record is from RNAcentral.